Long non-coding RNA from Ahaetulla prasina, 612 nucleotides. RefSeq lists it as uncharacterized. The transcript has 3 exons. Lineage: Eukaryota; Metazoa; Chordata; Lepidosauria; Squamata; Colubridae. The record is from RefSeq and is a predicted model, not a curated record.
CCCCAGCCAGCACAUUGAAGAGGAGUUGAAGUCUGCAGGUCCUAACAUUGCCAGGGUUGGACAUCCACUAGGCAAAUAAGAACCAACCUAUGGUGACUUUGGGCCAAUCACCAGGAGACGUUUGAGAUGCAAACAACACAGACUCAUCCCCAACAGCCAGCGCCUGUCCUGCAGCCAAGAAGGCUCCACACCCAUUGGCACCACUGCAAGCGAUAUAAAUCCUUCCCUUCCCCACCAUCCAGCCAGAGCUGAAGAAGCUUCUUGGAAGAGAAGUGAAAGGUCUUCAAAGAAAAACAGGAAAGUCCAGCUGCUUCCUGAAAAAGCACCUUUGAGACGAUCAUGAUCUGGAUGAUGGAGAAUCACCAUCAGAGGUGGCGCCAGCCUCCAUGCUUUGCUGGCUGGGGGAUUCUGGGAGUUGAAGUCCAUCAGGCUUAAAGGUGCCAAGGUUGGAGAGCCCUGCUUGGGGGGGGGUGUUGUUUUUUAUUAUUAUUAUUUAAUUCAUACAUAUUAAAUAAAUAGGAAAUGUAAUAAAUAAAUACGAGGAAUUUCAUGGCGGCCGUAUGUGUGAUCUCUGGAUGAAAAGAUGCAAUGCUCCUUAUUUUGUUUUACUUA